AACUUCUCUUCACGAGACACGCCACGUCAGCGUUUUCAGGUUUAGAGUUUAGGAUUUAGGGUUUAGAAUUUAGAAUUUUAGGUUUAGAGUUUAGGAUUUAGGGUUUAUGGUUUAGAGUUUUGGGUUUUAGGUUUAGAAAUUAGGGUUUAGAAUUUAGGAUUUAGAGUUUAGGAUUUGAGGUUUAGGGUUUAAAUUUUAGAUUUUUAGAAUUUCGGGUUUUGUAGACGGCGUUAACUUCGGUGUUUUUUCUCAGCCGUUUUUUUUUUUAAUUUUAUUGCUUUUUUUAACUAAUCUUAUAUGGCAAUUUGGUUGGUUAUAAAAGCUGAGGUGAAUUUGACCAUUCACCAUAGGGGUGAACCCAAAUAUUGUUCAAAUAAAAUCUCAAUGAUUAUCUUGCUCAUUUAUAUACACUACGAGAAAAAUAUGGGCUUCACGAUGAAAAUUAAUGACGAAAUUUAGCUAUAGUAAGUUGGAGCUUUUGUUAAAAUUUUCUUUCAGAAUUAACACUAAUAUCUAAAUGCUAAUGCUUUUUUUACCUUAUCCAUUAAUUAUUUUAUCUAUCUCUUUCAUAAAAUCAGUUAUAUUUUUCAGUUUUAUAAUAUUUAUUUAACAUUUUUACAAGAAUAUAAGGUUUUAAGUAUAAAAUAUAAUAGUACACAACGCAGUAAGUUCGUAUAUUAAUCUAUCUACUAGAUUCUAACCCGCGCUGAAGCGCAGAAAUUGAUUCAUCUAAUUUUAAUUUUAAUUUUUUGUAUAUGAUAUGUGUAUAUAAUUUUUAUAAAUAUUUUUGUGUAAUAUUUAUAAAUAUUUUUUUGUAAUAUUUAUAUAUAUAUUUGACAUCUAUAUCUAAUUUUUAGUGGUGUUAUAAUUUGUGUUGUACAUGUUGUUAGUUUGUAUUGAAUCUUGUUUCAUUUUCAGUAUAAUAGUUUGAUUUGGAUCACUUUAAACUUACAUUUGUUAAAUUUAAAAUAUUCGAUUUUUUUUUAAAAAAUAUUAUAUUAUUUUAACAACUUUAUUAGUUAUGCUUAUAACUAAUCAUAAUUAGUUUGUUAAAAAUAUUAAACACAUUUAGCCCAUAAAAUUUUAAUGGAUGUUUUUAAGAUCAAAAGUUUGGGCUAUUUAAUAGUUUAUGGAUCAGGCCUUGUGACAAAUUUAAUUUAACAAAGGAUAUUAUCUAAAUCCAAAUGAGUAACAAAGGGUUUAAAUUUUAGAUUUUUAGAAUUUCGGGUUUUGUAGACGGCGUUAACUUCGGUGUUUUUUUUCAGCCGUUUUUUUUUUUUAAUUUUAUUGCUUUUUUUAACUAAUCUUAUAUGGCAAUUUGGUUGGUUAUAAAAGCUGAGGUGAAUUUGACCAUUCACCAUAGGGGUGAACCCAAAUAUUGUUCAAAUAAAAUCUCAAUGAUUAUCUUGCUCAUUUAUAUACACUACGAGAAAAAUAUGGGCUUCACGAUGAAAAUUAAUGACGAAAUUUAGCUAUAGUAAGUUGGAGCUUUUGUUAAAAUUUUCUUUCAGAAUUAACACUAAUAUCUAAAUGCUAAUGCUUUUUUUACCUUAUCCAUUAAUUAUUUUAUCUAUCUCUUUCAUAAAAUCAGUUAUAUUUUUCAGUUUUAUAAUAUUUAUUUAACAUUUUUACAAGAAUAUAAGGUUUUAAGUAUAAAAUAUAAUAGUACACAACGCAGUAAGUUCGUAUAUUAAUCUAUCUACUAGAUUCUAACCCGCGCUGAAGCGCAGAAAUUGAUUCAUCUAAUUUUAAUUUUAAUUUUUUGUAUAUGAUAUGUGUAUAUAAUUUUUAUAAAUAUUU
RNAcentral lists this long non-coding RNA (1800 nucleotides) under Brassica napus (rape). RNAcentral's name for it is "long non-coding RNA (BNAP_LNC004906)". Lineage: Eukaryota; Viridiplantae; Streptophyta; Magnoliopsida; Brassicales; Brassicaceae. The record is from RNAcentral.